Molecule: ribosomal RNA, 392 nt
Filed under: uncultured bacterium
Lineage: Bacteria
Description: partial 16S ribosomal RNA
Rfam family: Bacterial small subunit ribosomal RNA
Source: RNAcentral
AUACGGAGGAUCCGAGCGUUAUCCGGAUUUAUUGGGUUUAAAGGGUGCGCAGGCGGCCAUUUAAGUCAGCGGUUAAAUCGUGGGGCUCAACCCCAUUCUGCCGUUGAUACUGGGUGGCUUGAUUGCGGUCGAGGUUGGCGGAAUUCGUUGUGUAGCGGUGAAAUGCAUAGAUAUGUAGAAGAACACCGAUUGCGUAGGCAGCUGACCAGACCGCAAAUGACGCUCAUGCACGAAAGUGCGGGGAUCGAACAGGAUUAGAUACCCUGGUAGUCCGCACAGUAAACGAUGAAUACUUGUUUUCGGCGAUAUAAUGUCGGAGGCAAAGCGAAAGCGAUAAGUAUUCCACCUGGGGAGUACGCCGGCAACGGUGAAACUCAAAUGAAUUGACGGGG